Molecule: long non-coding RNA, 867 nt
Filed under: Patiria miniata (bat star)
Lineage: Eukaryota; Metazoa; Echinodermata; Asteroidea; Valvatida; Asterinidae
Description: uncharacterized LOC119733258, transcript variant X1
Source: RNAcentral
AGACUUUCAUCUCUUCUGACCAUUGAUAACUACCUGUCUGUCAGUCUGUCUGUCAGUUUGCCAGCCAGUGCAGUCCUACAAGCCAACUGAAUGUGAAACCAAACUGAGUGGUUUUGAACUAUAGCUUGAUGAACAAGCCAGUGAAUGCCUGACUGUCAGCCAGUACAUGUGGUAAAUUCCGCCUUGUUCUGGCAACAAUGUUAAUGGUUACCUUGACGAUGGGAAGUACACACCCCUUGACGACGGCACAACCACCAAGGCAGACAGCUUGAGUACGUCAUGUAUGACAUCGUGUACAGAAUUGAAGGGGAUGAGAGCACAACAGAGGCCGCAUCCAGACUUGCAUGGAGGCUUGCUUUGUUAAUCAACCAUCACAUCCAGUCUGGUCACCAUGGCAGCUGAACAGCCUCAGGCCCCGCCUCCAGCAGCCAUUGGUCAAGAUAGCCGCUUACCAAUUCCAAUCAGCAAUGAGCGUAGUUGAGGGCAACGCAAGACACCUGUCAGCUUUGUUGUUGUACCGGUCAGUGAUCUGGGUGACCCUGUUGGUUCACCAGGGAGUAGCAUCUGGGCUUAUACACCAGGGAGCAGCGGUGACUGGAUCCCAAGUAGCAACUUAGAGGACAUACCAGGCACAGCAGCUAACAGGAUGCCUAACUUCCCCCAUCAAGACACUGUCAAGAGAGGAUGGCUUCCAAAUGAACAAACACCUGUCAGCCAGUUUGCUGAGCAAUGAGCCAAUGUCUGGCAUGCAUCAUAACAUGGCCAUGGGAGAUGUGGGAGGGGUGACAGCUCAUGGAAUGGCAGGAACGUUCUGAAACCUUGUAGACACCAUGCAACUUCAUUGCACCGAUCCAAAGGUGGGUCUUG